AUCGAGUUUGUAAUAGUAUAUAUUGACAUUGAUAUUAUGAAUAUAAUGAUCUCAGUGAUUACAAGCCUGAUUGUUGAGAUGGUAUCAGUUGUGUGAACAAUUCAGUGAGUAAUUAACGAUUGAGAUUCCUUCUUAAAGGAUUGUUCAUGGCUGAUCUACCUAGGUCCGAUGAGACUGAUCAACAUAUAGUAAGUGUUGUAAAAUGUAUCAGGCAACUAUUGAAGCAUAGUGAUACCUACCUCUUUUGGCGUUCCCAAUUUGAGGAUCUUCUUAAUUAGACGGAUAUGGCUGACCCUGAGCAAAUCGUCCCUGCAAUGCAAACGGCGGAGGGAGCACCUAAUCUUGAAUAUAAGGAGUGACAGAAGCGGAAUUGGGUGCUUGUGUCUUGGAUCAAAUCAUCGGUUGGCAUAUCGCUAUACCCGUUUGCGACUGUAUGGUAGAACAUGGAGAAGAAGCUUUCGCCGUAGAUGGAAAUUUAUUCCAAAUCAAUCAGGGACAAAUUGCGCGACUUGAAGAAGAGGGAUGAAAUGGGGAUGAAUUACAAUGUGUUUUAUUUUGGCGCGAAAGAUUUGAUUGACUGCGAGGUAAUUAAC
This 593-nucleotide long non-coding RNA is filed under the name Zostera marina. RNAcentral describes it as "long non-coding RNA (ZMAR_LNC005149)". The record is from RNAcentral. Lineage: Eukaryota; Viridiplantae; Streptophyta; Magnoliopsida; Alismatales; Zosteraceae.